AGAGUUUGAUCAUGGCUCAGAUUGAACGCUGGCGGCAGGCCUAACACAUGCAAGUCGAGCGCGAAAGGCUUACGGGCUGAGUAGAGCGGCGGACGGGUGAGUAACGCGUAGGAAUCUACCUGGUAGUGGGGGACAACUUGGGGAAACUCAAGCUAAUACCGCAUACGCCCCAAGGGGGAAAGCGGGGGACCUUCGGGCCUCGCGCUAUCAGAUGAGCCUGCGUAGGAUUAGCUUGUUGGUGAGGUAAAGGCUCACCAAGGCGACGAUCCUUAGCUGGUCUGAGAGUAUGAUCAGCCACACUGGGACUGAGACACGGCCCAGACUCCUACGGGAGGCAGCAGUGGGGAAUAUUGCGCAAUGGGGGCAACCCUGACGCAGCCAUGCCGCGUGUGUGAAGAAGGCCUUCGGGUUGUAAAGCACUUUAAGUGGGGAGAAAAGGGUAGCUGUUAAUAGCGGUUACCUGUGAUGUUACCCACAGAAUAAGCACCGGCUAACUCCGUGCCAGCAGCCGCGGUAAUACGGAGGGUGCGAGCGUUAAUCGGAAUUACUGGGCGUAAAGCGCGCGUAGGCGGUUUGUUAAGUCAGCUGUGAAAGCCCCGGGCUCAACCUGGGAACUGCAGUUGAUACUGGCCGACUAGAGUACGAGAGAGGGAGGUAGAAUUCCAUGUGUAGCGGUGAAAUGCGUAGAUAUAUGGAGGAAUACCGGUGGCGAAGGCGGCCUCCUGGCUCGAUACUGACGCUGAGGUGCGAUAGCGUGGGGAUCAAACAGGAUUAGAUACCCUGGUAGUCCACGCCGUAAACGAUGUCUACUAGCCGUUGGGAGACUUGAUUUCUUAGUGGCGCAGCUAACGCAAUAGGUAGACCGCCUGGGGAGUACGGCCGCAAGGUUAAAACUCAAAUGAAUUGACGGGGGCCCGCACAAGCGGUGGAGCAUGUGGUUUAAUUCGAUGCAACGCGAAGAACCUUACCAGGUCUUGACAUCCAGAGAACUUUCCAGAGAUGGAUUGGUGCCUCCGGGAGCUCUGAGACAGGUGCUGCAUGGCUGUCGUCAGCUCGUGUCGUGAGAUGUUGGGUUAAGUCCCGUAACGAGCGCAACCCUUGUCCUUAGUUGCCAGCGAGUAAUGUCGGGAACUCUAAGGAGACUGCCGGUGACAAACCGGAGGAAGGUGGGGACGACGUCAAGUCAUCAUGGCCCUUACGACCUGGGCUACACACGUGCUACAAUGGAACGCACAGAGGGCUGCAAAGGCGCGAGCUGGAGCCAAUCCCACAAAACGUUUCGUAGUCCGGAUCGGAGUCUGCAACUCGACUCGUGAAGUCGGAAUCGCUAGUAAUCGUGGAUCAGAAUGCCACGGUGAAUACGUUCCCGGGCCUUGUACACACCGCCCGUCACACCAUGGGAGUGGGUUGCUCCAGAAGUGGUUAGCCUAACCUUCGGGGGGGCGAUCACCACGGAGUGAUUCAUGACUGGGGUGAAG
Molecule: ribosomal RNA, 1478 nt
Filed under: metagenome
Description: bacterial SSU rRNA
Rfam family: Bacterial small subunit ribosomal RNA
Source: RNAcentral